CUUUAUUGGAGAGUUUGAUCCUGGCUCAGGACGAACGCUGGCGGCGUGCCUAAUACAUGCAAGUCGAGCGAAUCGGAG
RNAcentral lists this ribosomal RNA (78 nucleotides) under Mesobacillus foraminis. Its description in RNAcentral is "Bacillus foraminis partial 16S ribosomal RNA". It matches the Rfam family "Bacterial small subunit ribosomal RNA", at positions 1 to 76 of the family's 1533-position model. The record is from RNAcentral. Lineage: Bacteria; Bacillati; Bacillota; Bacilli; Caryophanales; Bacillaceae.